RNAcentral lists this ribosomal RNA (253 nucleotides) under uncultured bacterium. RNAcentral's name for it is "partial 16S ribosomal RNA". It matches the Rfam family "Bacterial small subunit ribosomal RNA", at positions 524 to 776 of the family's 1533-position model. The record is from RNAcentral.
GACAGAGGGUGCAAACGUUGUUCGGAAUUACUGGGCUUAAAGCGCGCGUAGGCGGCGCCGUAAGUGUCGGGUGAAAUCCCACGGCUCACCCGUGGAACUGCCCGGCAGACUGCGAUGCUCGAGUGUGGUAGGGGAGAGCGGAACUCCUGGUGGAGCGGUGAAAUGCGUAGAUAUCAGGAGGAACACCGGUGGCGAAGGCGGCUCUCUGGUCCACAACUGACGCUGAGGUGCGAAAGCUAGGGGAGCAAACGGG